RNAcentral lists this ribosomal RNA (1015 nucleotides) under Salmonella enterica. RNAcentral's name for it is "bacterial LSU rRNA". It matches the Rfam family "Bacterial large subunit ribosomal RNA", at positions 1292 to 2290 of the family's 2925-position model. Lineage: Bacteria; Pseudomonadati; Pseudomonadota; Gammaproteobacteria; Enterobacterales; Enterobacteriaceae. RNAcentral also lists the same sequence under 8 other names. The record is from RNAcentral.
GAAUGCUGACAUAAGUAACGAUAAAGCGGGUGAAAAGCCCGCUCGCCGGAAGACCAAGGGUUCCUGUCCAACGUUAAUCGGGGCAGGGUGAGUCGACCCCUAAGGCGAGGCCGAAAGGCGUAGUCGAUGGGAAACGGGUUAAUAUUCCCGUACUUGGUGUUACUGCGAAGGGGGGACGGAGAAGGCUAUGUUGGCCGGGCGACGGUUGUCCCGGUUUAAGCGUGUAGGUGUGUGUUCCAGGUAAAUCCGGUUCACUUUAACACUGAGGCGUGACGACGAGGCACUACGGUGCUGAAGCAACAAAUGCCCUGCUUCCAGGAAAAGCCUCUAAGCAUCAGGUAACAUCAAAUCGUACCCCAAACCGACACAGGUGGUCAGGUAGAGAAUACCAAGGCGCUUGAGAGAACUCGGGUGAAGGAACUAGGCAAAAUGGUGCCGUAACUUCGGGAGAAGGCACGCUGACACGUAGGUGAAGUGAUUUACUCAUGGAGCUGAAGUCAGUCGAAGAUACCAGCUGGCUGCAACUGUUUAUUAAAAACACAGCACUGUGCAAACACGAAAGUGGACGUAUACGGUGUGACGCCUGCCCGGUGCCGGAAGGUUAAUUGAUGGGGUCAGCGCAAGCGAAGCUCCUGAUCGAAGCCCCGGUAAACGGCGGCCGUAACUAUAACGGUCCUAAGGUAGCGAAAUUCCUUGUCGGGUAAGUUCCGACCUGCACGAAUGGCGUAAUGAUGGCCAGGCUGUCUCCACCCGAGACUCAGUGAAAUUGAACUCGCUGUGAAGAUGCAGUGUACCCGCGGCAAGACGGAAAGACCCCGUGAACCUUUACUAUAGCUUGACACUGAACAUUGAGCCUUGAUGUGUAGGAUAGGUGGGAGGCUUUGAAGUGUGGACGCCAGUCUGCAUGGAGCCGACCUUGAAAUACCACCCUUUAAUGUUUGAUGUUCUAACGUGGACCCGUUACCCGGGUUGCGGACAGUGUCUGGUGGGUAGUUUGACUGGGGCGGUCUCCUCC